ACCCGGCGCGGAACGCGCCAAGGAAAACUCAAUAGGACUGCCAAACCCCCCGAUGCCCCGUUCGCGGUGCGCUCGAGGGUGCUGCGGCGCCUGUCUAAUCCAAACGACUCUCGGCAACGGAUAUCUCGGCUCUCGCAUCGAUGAAGAACGUAGCGAAAUGCGAUACUUGGUGUGAAUUGCAGAAUCCCGUGAACCAUCGAGUCUUUGAACGCAAGUUGCGCCCGAAGCCAUCAGGCCAAGGGCACGUCUGCCUGGGCGUCACG
Molecule: ribosomal RNA, 263 nt
Filed under: Mitragyna speciosa
Lineage: Eukaryota; Viridiplantae; Streptophyta; Magnoliopsida; Gentianales; Rubiaceae
Description: 5.8S ribosomal RNA
Rfam family: 5.8S ribosomal RNA (bases 106-261)
About the family: 5.8S ribosomal RNA (5.8S rRNA) is a component of the large subunit of the eukaryotic ribosome. It is transcribed by RNA polymerase I as part of the 45S precursor that also contains 18S and 28S rRNA. Functionally, it is thought that 5.8S rRNA may be involved in ribosome translocation.
Source: RNAcentral